CCCAGCGCCAGCACUCCUCCCCGCACCGCUGCAGAACGAAGCCCACCAUCACGCCCGGAGAAGAGAACGUACGGGGGCAGGCCUCAUCAAAUGUUAUAACGGUAUUCUUAAGGCUGCCCUGAAGACAGACUCUCAGUCCCUGCAGGGGUGGACGAAAAGACUGUAUGAAACCCUGUGGGAGCUGAAUGAAAGACCCUGAGACGGCAGACCCAGUGCCCUCAGGAUGCUGCAGACAAUGUGGACCACCCCGCUUAGGAUCCAAAUUACGGGCACUGAUCAUCAGAAACACCUCAGGAAUCACACAGUGAUAUCAGGUAAGACAGCUGCUAAAGAGAGAGAGAGACCCAAGAAGUAAUUCCUGCAGCGUUAACAAAAAGGAGACAUGAAGGUAAAACAAAAUCCACUGGUAACACCAAAAGAAAUGUCCCGUGAAAUUGAAAAUUGAACAUGCUGACAAUAUGCCAAGUUUCUGUCUGCAGCUGGGAUUCAAAAGUCAGCACCUCCAAGACAGCCUCGUGCUUCCUCCUGCAUUCAAAACAUCUGUCACUUAGAAGCAGCAUAUUCGAUGGCUCGUUGCUUCAUUCUGACCACUUCUCCAAAUGUGAAAAUGACAGCUGAAUUGCAACAUGUCACAUUGUGCCAUUCGAAAACACAAAGGCUGAGGACAGCAAAAGAAAAAGCACAGCAAAUUACUUUUUGCACUUCCAGGAACGUUAUUCUUUCCAGGAUCUCCGAAGUGGUUUAUUAGCAAAGUGCAUCAUAUCCUAGAGGAAAGGUCCAAAACAUCUUUUUCUCACAUGGAAUGACGUCUUGCAAGCAUCAGAAAAAUUAUAUGAAAUCUUGAUACUAGCUCCCAUUUCUACCAAGAAUCAAGAGCAAGUGUUCAUGAAGAAGGAUGAAUUCCUAUGUUUUCAAGAAUAAAACCCAGCACAUGCACAUCUGCACGUCACCUUUCAGCCUGUCACUUCACCUGGAAACCUCGAGUUGUGGCAAGACAAGCAAUGCUUUUGCAACUGCUGCCUUUACACUGGUUUCCUGUCUGGGUGACAACCCUGGUGGACAUGCAGCUUGUAGAAUCAUAGAAUAGA
Molecule: long non-coding RNA, 1088 nt
Organism: Centrocercus urophasianus (Greater sage-grouse)
Lineage: Eukaryota; Metazoa; Chordata; Aves; Galliformes; Phasianidae
Exons: 3
Source: RefSeq, a predicted model, not a curated record